CCUGGAAAGAUCCAAGUGUCUCGAUUCUCCCAGCGUCCACCUGCCUUGGCCUCCCAAUGUGCUGGGAUUACAGGUAUGCGCCCACUGUACCUAGCCUCUUGGAUAUUCCUAUGUUGAUAUAAAAUACUGUCUUCCAGUUACCUUCUAAUUUGCAAAGCCUUCUGAUUUACCUUCUGAUUUGCAAAGAAAAAAAUUUUCUUUCAGCAUCCCAGGCUUAAAACCUUAAAGUUAUUUUUCACAUUCUUCUUUUUUUAUGCUGUAAUAUACCCUGUUAGUUAAUAGGUUCUGUGUGGGCUUUUGGGUGCUUCCUAUGACUGGCCCAUCUGCAAAGUAGAUCUGUUGACUUAUUUCGGCUACUGGCAGCUUAGGAUAGAUCCUUAUAUCUGUAAGAGCUACUUAAAUGCCUUUUCAGCAAUAUACUCUUAGAGUCAUGGCGUCAUAGAUGUCACUGAUAAAAAGAAAUGUGUUCCUGGGUUAAAAUUCUGAACAUAUUUUCUGUUAGAAAUAGUCUUGUGGAUAGGGCUACGUACAAGAUUAAG
This 539-nucleotide long non-coding RNA is filed under the name Homo sapiens (human). RNAcentral's name for it is "HSALNT0200620". The record is from RNAcentral. Lineage: Eukaryota; Metazoa; Chordata; Mammalia; Primates; Hominidae.